UCUUAAGACUCUGAAAGCCAGAAACAGAUUUUUAAUCUGAAUAUGGUGGCUAGCGCCCACCCUUAAGAAU
RNAcentral lists this transfer RNA (70 nucleotides) under Argulus japonicus. RNAcentral's name for it is "tRNA-Lys". Lineage: Eukaryota; Metazoa; Arthropoda; Ichthyostraca; Arguloida; Argulidae. The record is from RNAcentral.